Molecule: long non-coding RNA, 573 nt
Organism: Heterocephalus glaber (naked mole-rat)
Lineage: Eukaryota; Metazoa; Chordata; Mammalia; Rodentia; Bathyergidae
Source: Ensembl
GCGCACUGUGCCCACGCCUUGAAGGCCCCGAGAAGCCUGUCUGUUCUUGCCAUCGGCAAAGACCGCACAGAGAGGAAGCUGGAGCUGUGGGCGAACAAUAAACAGCAUCUUGAGAAGCAGUGUAGCCAGGCGUGGUGGCGAACGCCUGUGAUCCCGGCACUCGGGAGGCUGAGGCAGGAGGAUCACUAUGAGUUCAAGAACAGCCUGGAUUACAUAGUGAGUUCAAGGCCAGCCUGGAUCACAUGUUCAGUGCUGACCGGAAGCUCAAGGAAGCAUGAGGCAGACGAAGAAGAAGAUGGAGGUGGUGACAACAGCAGGAGCAAUGGUGUGGUUCUCUUUCACAUGGUCAAAGACAGAAUGUCAGUUGUGACAGUUGAACUGGAUUGCCAACUUGAUUGGAUUGAGAGCUGCCCAUGGGAUCAGUAAAGCCCACUUCUGGAUGUGUGCAGUGGGUCAUGGAGCUCUGUGGGUCAGGCUGCAGUUUGGAAAGCUGUUCCACACUUCUUCCCGUUCCUCGUGGAUCACUGAUUCCUUGGAGCAGAGCUUCUUGUGGGGAGGAUAGGAAGGUCAGAG